Long non-coding RNA from Cavia porcellus (domestic guinea pig), 492 nucleotides. RefSeq lists it as uncharacterized. The transcript has 4 exons. The record is from RefSeq and is a predicted model, not a curated record. Lineage: Eukaryota; Metazoa; Chordata; Mammalia; Rodentia; Caviidae.
CCUGUCCAAGCCUGUUGAACCCAUCUCUCAAUACCACAUGCCCCAGAGGCAGAUGCGGUGCUGCAGAUCUUGUUGUGAUCUUCCUGACUUUUAGUCUGCUUCUGGGUUUUACAACUGGGAAUGUGCCUUGUGUCUCAAAAGGGACAUAGAUUUGGAACUUUUGAGCAAUACUGGAACUGCUGGGAUUUGGAGAAGGAAUUCUUCUUCUCUGGUCCUGUUUCUAUGCCUGGCCGAGACGAACUAAGCAGGUUGCCUCUCCCAUACCUUGCUGCCAUGACAUAUUUGCCUUUGAAUUAACCACCCAUGGACUGAAUCCCCUAAAUCUUAAACCAAGUUAAUGGCAAAGAUGUCUUUAAAAACUGAUCGUCAUGAUGCUUGUCCAGACUUCCUCAUUGUCUGCAGAGAAGCUGAACCAGUCUUUGUUACCAGAAGGUACCGCUUAGUGUUUCAGCAAUAUUUUUGGAAUAAGGAAUCUGCAGUACGUAUAAAUGC